GACGAACGCUGGCGGCGUGCCUAAUACAUGCAAGUAGAACGCUGAAGCGAGGAGCUUACUCUUCUUGGAUGAGUUGCGAACGGGUGAGUAACGCGUAGGUAACCUGCCUUGUAGCGGGGGAUAACUAUUGGAAACGAUAGCUAAUACCGCAUAACAAUGGAUGACACAUGUCAUUUAUUUGAAAGGGGCAAUUGCUCCACUACAAGAUGGACCUGCAUUGUAUUAGCUAGUAGGUGAGGUAAUGGCUCACCUAGGCGACGAUACAUAGCCGACCUGAGAGGGUGAUCGGCCACACUGGGACUGAGACACGGCCCAGACUCCUACGGGAGGCAGCAGUAGGGAAUCUUCGGCAAUGGGGGCAACCCUGACCGAGCAACGCCGCGUGAGUGAAGAAGGUUUUCGGAUCGUAAAGCUCUGUUGUAAGUCAAGAACGGGUGUGAGAGUGGAAAGUUCACACUGUGACGGUAGCAUACCAGAAAGGGACGGCUAACUACGUG
RNAcentral lists this ribosomal RNA (497 nucleotides) under uncultured bacterium. RNAcentral describes it as "partial 16S ribosomal RNA". It matches the Rfam family "Bacterial small subunit ribosomal RNA", at positions 28 to 507 of the family's 1533-position model. The record is from RNAcentral.